UGAGGGGGGCUGCUCCUAGUACGAGAGGACCGGAGUGGACGCAUCACUGGUGUUCGGGUUGUCAUGCCAAUGGCACUGCCCGGUAGCUAAAUGCGGAAAAGAUAAGUGCUGAAAGCAUCUAAGCACGAAACUUGCCCCGAGAUGAGUCUUCCCUGAGACUUUGAGUCUCCUGAAGGAACGUUAAAGACGAUGACGUUGAUAGGCCGGGUGUGUAAGCGCAGCGAUGCGUUGAGCUAACCGGUACUAAUGAACCGUGAGGCUUAACCUUACAACGCCGAAGGUGUUU
This 286-nucleotide ribosomal RNA is filed under the name Salmonella enterica. RNAcentral describes it as "partial 23S ribosomal RNA". It matches the Rfam family "Bacterial large subunit ribosomal RNA", at positions 2663 to 2925 of the family's 2925-position model. RNAcentral also lists the same sequence under 1 other name. Lineage: Bacteria; Pseudomonadati; Pseudomonadota; Gammaproteobacteria; Enterobacterales; Enterobacteriaceae. The record is from RNAcentral.